Molecule: ribosomal RNA, 1446 nt
Filed under: Serratia plymuthica
Lineage: Bacteria; Pseudomonadati; Pseudomonadota; Gammaproteobacteria; Enterobacterales; Yersiniaceae
Description: bacterial SSU rRNA
Rfam family: Bacterial small subunit ribosomal RNA
Source: RNAcentral
AAACCUUGCGGCAGCUACACAUGCAGUCGAGCGGUAGCACAGGAGAGCUUGCUCUCUGGGUGACGAGCGGCGGACGGGUGAGUAAUGUCUGGGAAACUGCCUGAUGGAGGGGGAUAACUACUGGAAACGGUAGCUAAUACCGCAUAACGUCUACGGACCAAAGUGGGGGACCUUCGGGCCUCACGCCAUCAGAUGUGCCCAGAUGGGAUUAGCUAGUAGGUGGGGUAAUGGCUCACCUAGGCGACGAUCCCUAGCUGGUCUGAGAGGAUGACCAGCCACACUGGAACUGAGACACGGUCCAGACUCCUACGGGAGGCAGCAGUGGGGAAUAUUGCACAAUGGGCGCAAGCCUGAUGCAGCCAUGCCGCGUGUGUGAAGAAGGCCUUAGGGUUGUAAAGCACUUUCAGCGAGGAGGAAGGGUUCAGUGUUAAUAGCACUGUGCAUUGACGUUACUCGCAGAAGAAGCACCGGCUAACUCCGUGCCAGCAGCCGCGGUAAUACGGAGGGUGCAAGCGUUAAUCGGAAUUACUGGGCGUAAAGCGCACGCAGGCGGUUUGUUAAGUCAGAUGUGAAAUCCCCGCGCUUAACGUGGGAACUGCAUUUGAAACUGGCAAGCUAGAGUCUUGUAGAGGGGGGUAGAAUUCCAGGUGUAGCGGUGAAAUGCGUAGAGAUCUGGAGGAAUACCGGUGGCGAAGGCGGCCCCCCUGGACAAAGACUGACGCUCAGUGCGAAAGCGUGGGGAGCAAAACAGGAUUAAUACCCUGGUAGUCCACCUGUAAACGAUGUCGAUUUGGAGGUUGUGCCCUUGAGGCGUGGCUUCCGGAGCUAACGCGUUAAAUCGACCGCCUGGGGAGUACGGCCGCAAGGUUAAAACUCAAAUGAAUUGACGGGGGCCCGCACAAGCGGUGGAGCAUGUGGUUUAAUUCGAUGCAACGCGAAGAACCUUACCUACUCUUGACAUCCAGAGAACUUUCCAGAGAUGGAUUGGUGCCUUCGGGAACUCUGAGACAGGUGCUGCAUGGCUGUCGUCAGCUCGUGUUGUGAAAUGUUGGGUUAAGUCCCGCAACGAGCGCAACCCUUAUCCUUUGUUGCCAGCGAUUCGGUCGGGAACUCAAAGGAGACUGCCGGUGAUAAACCGGAGGAAGGUGGGGAUGACGUCAAGUCAUCAUGGCCCUUACGAGUAGGGCUACACACGUGCUACAAUGGCGUAUACAAAGAGAAGCGAACUCGCGAGAGCAAGCGGACCUCAUAAAGUACGUCGUAGUCCGGAUUGGAGUCUGCAACUCGACUCCAUGAAGUCGGAAUCGCUAGUAAUCGUAGAUCAGAAUGCUACGGUGAAUACGUUCCCGGGCCUUGUACACACCGCCCGUCACACCAUGGGAGUGGGUUGCAAAAGAAGUAGGUAGCUUAACCUUCGGGAGGGCGCUACCACUUUGUAUUAUGGGU